This 564-nucleotide ribosomal RNA is filed under the name uncultured bacterium. RNAcentral describes it as "partial 16S ribosomal RNA". It matches the Rfam family "Bacterial small subunit ribosomal RNA", at positions 355 to 912 of the family's 1533-position model. The record is from RNAcentral.
UGGGGAAUUUUGGACAAUGGGCGAAAGCCUGAUCCAGCAAUGCCGCGUGUGUGAAGAAGGCCUUCGGGUUGUAAAGCACUUUUGUCCGGAAAGAAAUCCUUGGCUCUAAUACAGUCGGGGGAUGACGGUACCGGAAGAAUAAGCACCGGCUAACUACGUGCCAGCAGCCGCGGUAAUACGUAGGGUGCAAGCGUUAAUCGGAAUUACUGGGCGUAAAGCGUGCGCAGGCGGUUUGCUAAGACCGAUGUGAAAUCCCCGGGCUCAACCUGGGAACUGCAUUGGUGACUGGCAGGCUAGAGUAUGGCAGAGGGGGGUAGAAUUCCACGUGUAGCAGUGAAAUGCGUAGAGAUGUGGAGGAAUACCGAUGGCGAAGGCAGCCCCCUGGGCCAAUACUGACGCUCAUGCACGAAAGCGUGGGGAGCAAACAGGAUUAGAUACCCUGGUAGUCCGCGCCCUAAACGAUGUCAACUAGUUGUUGGGGAUUCAUUUCCUUAGUAACGUAGCUAACGCGUGAAGUUGACCGCCUGGGGAGUACGGUCGCAAGAUUAAAACUCAAAUGAAUUG